CCUACGGGUGGCUGCAGUGGGGAAUAUUGGACAAUGGGCGAAAGCCUGAUCCAGCCAUGCCGCGUGUGUGAAGAAGGCCUUCGGGUUGUAAAGCACUUUCAGUGGGGAAGAAAGCCUUGGGGCUAAUACCCUCGAGGAAGGACAUCACCCACAGAAGAAGCACCGGCUAACUCCGUGCCAGCAGCCGCGGUAAUACGGAGGGUGCGAGCGUUAAUCGGAAUUACUGGGCGUAAAGCGCGCGUAGGCGGUCUGAUAAGCCGGUUGUGAAAGCCCCGGGCUCAACCUGGGAACGGCAUCCGGAACUGUCAGGCUAGAGUGCAGGAGAGGAAGGUAGAAUUCCCGGGGUAGCGGUGAAAUGCGUAGAGAGCGGGAGGAAUACCAGUGGCGAAGGCGGCCUUCUGGACUGACACUGACGCUGAGGUGCGAAAGCGUGGGUAGCAAACAGGAUUAGAUACCCCAGUAGUC
Molecule: ribosomal RNA, 465 nt
Filed under: Vreelandella stevensii
Lineage: Bacteria; Pseudomonadati; Pseudomonadota; Gammaproteobacteria; Oceanospirillales; Halomonadaceae
Description: partial 16S ribosomal RNA
Rfam family: Bacterial small subunit ribosomal RNA
Source: RNAcentral